Long non-coding RNA from Melitaea cinxia (Glanville fritillary), 528 nucleotides. RefSeq lists it as uncharacterized. The transcript has 3 exons. Lineage: Eukaryota; Metazoa; Arthropoda; Insecta; Lepidoptera; Nymphalidae. The record is from RefSeq and is a predicted model, not a curated record.
AUAAAUAUUUAUAGAUUUCAUACAUUUUCAUCUCAUUUCUCUUACAUGCUGCUAUUAAAUUAAAUCAUUCACAACUACUGGACGUUUAAAGAUGAUUAAAUUUUUAAUGAAACAAUGACUUUAAAUUCUUGUACUUCCUUUUUAGGCUUUCAAUUAAAGACAUACGCCUAUCUGGCCAGGUUCGCUAUGAAGGUAAUAUCAUCGUCGGUGUCAACAUAGUUGGCAUCCACUUGCAGAACGGUAUUGGCAAUAUUGAGGCUGACGUCAAAUUGAUUGGUAAUGGAAAUGACUACUCCGAACGUGUGAAUAAGUUCUUAAACGACACUCUUCCCAAUACUCUCGAAAAAUACCAGUACGAAAUCAACGCGGUGAUUGCUCGUAUCAUCAUGGCGAUCAUCAAUCGAUCAUACUGAGAAGAUUUUAUGCAGAUUUAAUGAUUUUCAAAUGUGUGAAUGUAAAUUAUUAAUUUUGAUUUAUAAAAAUUCGGAUGUAUAAGUCAUAAGUUCAAUAUAUACGUUUAAAAAAAGA